ACUGAAACUAUUGAAAGAGAUGGUACUUGUGAACGUAUUACUAUUUAUAGUCUCCCUACUCUUCUACCAUUUCUCUUUAUCUAACAUGUCCUCCGAUUACCAUUUAUCUACUAUGCAAUUACUCUCGCGACCAUACACCAUUCGUCUCGGAGUCUUCGUUCGUAUCACUCGCGAAAUAAGAUUUCAGCUGAUCUACAAACUGUUACAAGAUAUUUCUACUUGGAAGAUAUAAGCAUGAAAAAUUGUAUACACAUUUUAAAAACAAAGAAGAGCAACGAAGAAAGUAAAUAAAAAAAUGUUCAUCUAGUUGUUUCAAAGGUGAUGGUGUUUUGUGAAAUUUGUGAACGUUAACUGCUGUUCCUUUAAAUCUUCAACUUUUUAGUAAAAUCACAAGUAAAAUCAUUUUCAAACUUAGCUUGGGUUUCAU
This is a long non-coding RNA of Bombus terrestris (buff-tailed bumblebee), 427 nucleotides long. RefSeq lists it as uncharacterized. NCBI's taxonomy places the organism in Eukaryota, Metazoa, Arthropoda, Insecta, Hymenoptera, Apidae. The record is from RefSeq and is a predicted model, not a curated record. The transcript has 2 exons.